Molecule: long non-coding RNA, 251 nt
Filed under: Mytilus galloprovincialis (Mediterranean mussel)
Lineage: Eukaryota; Metazoa; Mollusca; Bivalvia; Mytilida; Mytilidae
Source: RNAcentral
GGUUGUAUGCAUGGUUUAAUUUACAUCCAUUUCAUUUGAAUUUUGUUGGCUAUUUGUCCCAUUGGUAAUCAUACCACAUCGCCGUAUUUUUAAAUUAAAUGAGUGUUUGAACCUAAUGUUCAGUGUUUGUCUUUUGUUGAUGUAGUUCAUAACUGAAUCUUUUUUUUUAAUAUAGAUUAGACCAUUAGUUUCCUGUUUAAAUGGUGUCUCACUAGUCAUUUUUAGGGCCCUUUAUGGCUUACUGUUCAUUG